RNAcentral lists this ribosomal RNA (253 nucleotides) under uncultured bacterium. Its description in RNAcentral is "partial 16S ribosomal RNA". It matches the Rfam family "Bacterial small subunit ribosomal RNA", at positions 524 to 776 of the family's 1533-position model. The record is from RNAcentral.
UACGUAGGGUGCAAGCGUUGUCCGGAAUUAUUGGGCGUAAAGAGCUCGUAGGCGGUUCGUCGCGUCGGCUGUGAAAUCCCGAGGCUCAACCUCGGGUCUGCAGUCGAUACGGGCGGACUGGAGUUCGGCAGGGGAGACUGGAAUUCCUGGUGUAGCGGUGAAAUGCGCAGAUAUCAGGAGGAACACCGACGGCGAAGGCAGCUUACUGGGCCGAUACUGACGCUGAGGAGCGAAAGCGUGGGGAGCGAACAGG